Long non-coding RNA from Protopterus annectens (West African lungfish), 133 nucleotides. RefSeq lists it as uncharacterized. Lineage: Eukaryota; Metazoa; Chordata; Ceratodontiformes; Protopteridae. The transcript has 3 exons. The record is from RefSeq and is a predicted model, not a curated record.
UUAUAGGAACACAAUGGUUAUGGAGCUGCCUGUGAAUAAAACAACUGGCUAUGCUGUUUGCUGUUAAAGUGCUCUGGAAUGCAAAAUGUUUGCAGGCUGCUAGAGGGCUUGACUACAGAGUGUAAUUGGAGGC